Molecule: ribosomal RNA, 897 nt
Filed under: Cordyceps fumosorosea
Lineage: Eukaryota; Fungi; Ascomycota; Sordariomycetes; Hypocreales; Cordycipitaceae
Description: LSU rRNA
Rfam family: Eukaryotic large subunit ribosomal RNA
Source: RNAcentral
GCAUAUCAAUAAGCGGAGGAAAAGAAACCAACAGGGAUUGCCCCCAGUAACGGCGAGUGAAGCGGCAACAGCUCAAAAUUUGAAAUCUGGCCCCCGGGUCCGAGUUGUAAUUUGCAGAGGAUGCUUCGGGCGAGGUGCCUUCCGAGUUCCCUGGAACGGGACGCCACAGAGGGUGAGAGCCCCGUCUGGUCGGACACCGAGCCCGUGUGAAGCUCCUUCGAAGAGUCGAGUAGUUUGGGAAUGCUGCUCAAAACGGGAGGUAUAUGUCUUCUAAAGCUAAAUAUUGGCCAGAGACCGAUAGCGCACAAGUAGAGUGAUCGAAAGAUGAAAAGCACUUUGAAAAGAGGGUUAAAAAGUACGUGAAAUUGUUGAAAGGGAAGCGCCCAUGACCAGACUUGGGCCCGGUGAAUCACCCGGCGUUCUCGCCGGUGCACUUUGCCGGGCACAGGCCAGCAUCAGUUUGGCGCGGGGGAGAAAGGCUUCGGGAACGUGGCUCCCUCGGGAGUGUUAUAGCCCGCUGCGCAAUACCCUGCGCCGGACUGAGGUACGCGCAUCGCAAGGAUGCUGGCGUAAUGGUCAUCAGCGACCCGUCUUGAAACACGGACCAAGGAGUCGUCUUCGUAUGCGAGUGUUCGGGUGUCAAACCCCUACGCGGAAUGAAAGUGAACGCAGGUGAGAGCUUCGGCGCAUCAUCGACCGAUCCUGAUGUUCUCGGAUGGAUUUGAGUAAGAGCAUACGGGGCCGGACCCGAAAGAAGGUGAACUAUGCCUGUAUAGGGUGAAGCCAGAGGAAACUCUGGUGGAAGCUCGCAGCGGUUCUGACGUGCGAAUCGAUCGUCAAAUAUGGGCAUGGGGGGCGAAAGACUAAUCGAACCUUCUAGUAGCUGGUUUCCGCCGA